RNAcentral lists this ribosomal RNA (448 nucleotides) under uncultured bacterium. RNAcentral's name for it is "bacterial SSU rRNA". It matches the Rfam family "Bacterial small subunit ribosomal RNA", at positions 328 to 793 of the family's 1533-position model. The record is from RNAcentral.
GACGACGACUCCUACGGGAGGCAGCAGUGGGGAAUCUUGGACAAUGGGGGCAACCCUGAUCCAGCCAUGCCGCGUGAGUGAUGAAGGCCUUAGGGUCGUAAAGCUCUUUCGCCUGUGAUGAUAAUGACAGUAGCAGGUAAAGAAACCCCGGCUAACUCCGUGCCAGCAGCCGCGGUAAUACGGAGGGGGUUAGCGUUGUUCGGAAUUACUGGGCGUAAAGCGCGCGUAGGCGGAUUAGUCAGUUAGAGGUGAAAUCCCAGGGCUCAACCCUGGAACUGCCUUUAAUACUGCUAGUCUUGAGUUCGAGAGAGGUGAGUGGAAUUCCGAGUGUAGAGGUGAAAUUCGUAGAUAUUCGGAGGAACACCAGUGGCGAAGGCGGCUCACUGGCUCGAUACUGACGCUGAGGUGCGAAAGUGUGGGGAGCAAACAGGAUUAGAUACCCUGGUAG